This 467-nucleotide ribosomal RNA is filed under the name uncultured bacterium. RNAcentral's name for it is "partial 16S ribosomal RNA". It matches the Rfam family "Bacterial small subunit ribosomal RNA", at positions 29 to 507 of the family's 1533-position model. The record is from RNAcentral.
ACGAACGCUGGCGGCGUGCUUAACCCAUGCAAGUCGAACGGAAAGGCCCUGCUUUUGUGGGGUGCUCGAGUGGCGAACGGGUGAGUAACACGUGAGUAACCUGCCCUUGACUUUGGGAUAACUUCAGGAAACUGGGGCUAAUACCGGAUAGGAGCUCCUGCUGCAUGGUGGGGGUUGGAAAGUUUCGGCGGUUGGGGAUGGACUCGCGGCUUAUCAGCUUGUUGGUGGGGUAGUGGCUUACCAAGGCUUUGACGGGUAGCCGGCCUGAGAGGGUGACCGGCCACAUUGGGACUGAGAUACGGCCCAGACUCCUACGGGAGGCAGCAGUGGGGAAUAUUGCACAAUGGGCGGAAGCCUGAUGCAGCAACGCCGCGUGCGGGAUGACGGCCUUCGGGUUGUAAACCGCUUUCGCCUGUGACGAAGCGUGAGUGACGGUAAUGGGUAAAGAGGCACCGGCUAACUACGUG